RNAcentral lists this long non-coding RNA (292 nucleotides) under Setaria viridis. Its description in RNAcentral is "long non-coding RNA (SVIR_LNC002769)". Lineage: Eukaryota; Viridiplantae; Streptophyta; Magnoliopsida; Poales; Poaceae. The record is from RNAcentral.
GGGCAGGGCCUUGUGAACUCUUUUUGGUGGUCGGUGGAUUGCCUCGUCUGUCUACUUGAAAUUGGACUAAGGUCGAGAUGUGAUAGUGUUUUGAUCAAGUGUUUGAAAGUACUAAUCUCAUACCUAGUAUAGGAUGGGGAAGCCUAGUACCUGAUUGAACUUGGACGUGAGCGGUUCAAUCUACUGUCUCUGGAACAGAGUUUCCCUUGUGGCCGCAUGUGAUGACAAGUGUGGUCACAGAACGGCAGAGGCCGGGUCUGUGGAACCUUGUAUCAAGAGAACUGGGCCCGAC